Molecule: unclassified non-coding RNA, 393 nt
Filed under: Chlamydomonas reinhardtii
Lineage: Eukaryota; Viridiplantae; Chlorophyta; Chlorophyceae; Chlamydomonadales; Chlamydomonadaceae
Description: S3 rRNA from Chlamydomonas reinhardtii (PDB 7PKQ, chain 3)
Rfam family: Bacterial small subunit ribosomal RNA
Source: RNAcentral
AUUGUUUGAACACCCCCCAAGCACGUGCCAGAAGGGUCGGUAAAACGUGCGGUGUCAGUAUAAAGCGUCUUGACUAGGCAGGCAGCGCGUCUGAGCGUGUGAACACUUUAAACGUUGGGUAAUAUUCGGAGGAUCGGUCAAAUGAGAAUAUUCCGGAUGGAAAGCCGAAGGCGAAAGCACCAACAUCAGAGUCACUAAAGCUUCAACGCGUAAGUUUGGGUAGCGAACCGGAUUAGAGACCCGGGUAGUCCAAACCGUCAACACAUUAUAGUAAUCUAUAACGCCUGGUGAUACGGUGGCAACACUAUAAAUCAAAGCAAUUGGCAGCGAUAGAGAUGCGCGGUGGAAUAUGCUGUUUAAAUCGAAUUUACGCGCAAAAUCUUACCACUUUUU